RNAcentral lists this ribosomal RNA (492 nucleotides) under uncultured bacterium. RNAcentral describes it as "partial 16S ribosomal RNA". It matches the Rfam family "Bacterial small subunit ribosomal RNA", at positions 29 to 507 of the family's 1533-position model. The record is from RNAcentral.
AGUGAACGCUGGCGGUAGGCCUAACACAUGGAAGUCGAGCGGCAGCACAGUAAGAGCUUGCUCUUACGGGUGGCGAGUGGCGGACGGGUGAGGAAUACAUCGGAAUCUACUUUUUCGUGGGGGAUAACGUAGGGAAACUUACGCUAAUACCGCAUACGACCUACGGGUGAAAGCAGGGGAUCUUCGGACCUUGCGCGAUUGAAUGAGCCGAUGUCGGAUUAGCUAGUUGGCGGGGUAAAGGCCCACCAAGGCGACGAUCCGUAGCUGGUCUGAGAGGAUGAUCAGCCACACUGGAGCUGAGACACGGUCCAGACUCCUGCGGGAGGCAGCAGUGGGGAAUAUUGGACAAUGGGCGCAAGCCUGAUCCAGCCAUACCGCGUGGGUGAAGAAGGCCUUCGGGUUGUAAAGCCCUUUUGUUGGGAAAGAAAAGCAGCAGGUUAAUACCCCGCUGUUCUGACGGUACCCAAAGAAUAAGCACCGGCUAACUUCGUG